CAUAUUUUUUUCUCUGUUUCAAAAAGAGUGUCUAGUGGUCUGGGGAUUGCAACAUAUGGUACAGAGCAGACACAAUCCAAUUAACAUAGGAUUCAUAACAACAUAUUGUGACUGAUCUCUAUAGCCUCAGAGCAUAUUGGUUUGUGUUAUCGGUUUAAUCUAAAUAUUGUCACCUGUUCCUCAAGAUGAGCCAAAGGUGGAACAUGGCUUAAAACUGUCUUGUCUAAAAUAUCUGUUUCAUUGCAAUGCAUAGAACCAAAGAGGUGGAGGCUGCUUGUUCUUUGACAAGCAAUUUACCUCUUUGGGCUUCAGUUUCAUCAUUUAUGAAAACUGAGGCUUGAUUUGAUUACGUGGUUAAGACUAUAAUAAAUAAUUUGUAACAGGUAGAUAUAGGAGCUAUAAAAAUAAGAUAAAUGCAGAGAGGUAGAAAUAAAGCUCAGGAUUUGGGGUCAGAAAGCCUGGUUCAAAUCCAUGCUUUGCCACUUACCAGCUGGGCGACUUUGGAGAAGAUGCUAGAUCUCUACAUGGCAUCAUCUGUAAUGCUGAAAUAAUGGCACCAGACUCACAGUGUUGUUAUGAUGAUUAAAUGAUAUGUAUAACAAAGGUUAUAUCAAAAGUUAUGGGACAAUUGCUCAAUAAAUGUUUAUUAUCAUCAUCCCAAGAAACUGUAUAGAACUAGAUUUGUUGGCAACUGGCAAUUAACUGACAGGAAAAACAAAGCAUUCUGAUUUGGGAAUAAAUGUGAUUCUUUUAACCCAAAUAUCCAGUUAGAUCUUUCAAGUGCUAAAUCCAGAUACAGGCUCUCAGUUCAAGGUCAUUGCCACAAAGCCUUAGGUAACUAUCUUGAGUAGAUUUAUUGAACAAUUAGCUUGUAAAUUCCAGCCACUCCAGAAACCGAAAUACAUUUCCUCUCUUUGUUAAAUGUGAGCAUGUAAUCCAAUAUGUUUCAAACCCUUGGUCAUAAUUUUAAAAUUUCCAUAUUUUAAUGUGCACAUUGCAGGGUGUAUAAAUAAUGCCUCUCUUUAAUGACAAUAAUGUCCUCUUGGCUAGCAUGACAUGUGCUCACUUCCUCCAUGUAAAAUUCCUCCACAAAAAGUUAAAUAGGUUGGGCUGGAAUGAGAGAUUUUGUUUUAAAAAUUCUCCAGUUCUCAGGUCAGAAAGUCUGUUGUCCCCUCUGCAAAUGAAGGAGGGGUGAGGACCUUGAAAUUGUUCCCAUUGUUUUCUCUCUGGGCUUGGACAUGGGCUGUACACUAAUGUCCAGUUAAUUUUAGAGUGGGUGUAGCUAAGAACUAAGUAAGUGUUCAAAAGCAACCAGUAAGCCUCAUGUCUCCUUUACAUAUUGAUCUUGUAGAAGGGGAAGAAGGGGGAAGGGAAGGGAAUUAGUUGAAUGAAAGUGGAAUUGUGCUCCAGGUGUGUUGCAUACCUUUUUGAAUCCUCAAAAUAACCCUGGGGUGGAUCCUCUCUUUAAUUAGAUGGAAAGACACAGAGAGGCUAAGUAAAUUAUUCAUGCUCACACAGCUAAAAAGAAGUGAGUGUGAUAACAACCCAGUUGCAACUGAAUCCAAACCCAGGUGUGUCUGAAUCUUUGAACAUUACAUAACCCUGAUCACCACAGGGUUGGGAGCAUUUAUCACAGUUUUUAGGGUUGAACAGGAAUUGAAGGGGUAAGGAUUCCUAUUUUUGUGGUUUCUAAGUAAUCUAUUAAAUACAAAAGUAUAUGGUAGGGUACCUUGAUAGAUGGGUUCCCUACAAGUGAUUAAAUUUGUGGACUUUUUUUUUUUUUUUCUAUUUUGGUCAAGACCAGUUGCCAGCUUCUUCCAAAUAAAAUAGCAGUAAAUCUCCUUGAAACAGAUCUUCCAUGUCCUGAAAAAAGUUACCUGAGUGGUAUCUCUUGGCUAAGCAAGUGUAGGGAGAGUAUGUUUCAUUGUUCUGCUGUUUUGAGAGCCUUAAGCAUCUUAUAUGGGAAGUGGUUCUCUGUGAGAAAGAGGAUUGGUAUGGAGGCACAGAUGCUGGGACAAGUCCUAGCCCUGCUCUUCUGAGGACAGUUCAUGCUCUGAGAACUCACAAUAGUAUGUGGGACACCUCAGGGAGCUGGUAACAUUUGGGGUACAGGCAGUGAUGUAUUUACUGGUAAACAAAUUCUCCAAAACAAAACAAAAACAACUAAAAGCUUUUGUUCUUUUCUCACCAUGGCUGAUCUAAAGCUACCAACAUGACAUAAAUGAGUGGGAAGAGACACAUGCAUUCUGGAUCUCCCCUGGAACCACAGGCUCCAGCUCACCCAAUGGUGGAGAUCUAUUAGUGUGUGAGGACUUCUGCACUGAAUGUUCCACUAGGGAAAAGGCUUCCUGGAAUGAGAGAGCUCUCAGUUUCUCUGCUAGGCCUCAGAUCUGAUUUUCAAAAUCAGCAUAGCUGGUGUAGCUAGCAUCCACCUCUGCUGCGGAGACACAAUUGUCAGUCUCUGCAUCUGUGAGCAACAGACAUAAUGCCACUUUGGCAUCCUAGGGAGAUUCCACUGCAGCCUGACUCUACUGCCUCUCCUCCGUAGGACAACUAACUAAAUGUCCCAUUCUCUCCACCUGGGGGUAGGGACCAGUGUCGGAGGUGAGAGCACUUUCUGGGAGAACACUUUCCUUGCCCUAUUUAGCUGGAGGUCCCCUUCAUUGAAAUUAAUGCUGGUGUGGGCUGCCAACCCUGGAAACCCACUGCUAAUGAGGAUGAUGGCUGAGCUGGGCACUUAGUCCAGGCUUAGCAUUUCCUAUAAGAGCCCUGAAGCUAGUUUCUGUUCAGGAGCUGGAGCAACAAGUCAGGAGGAGGCCAAAUGAACUCCUACCCCUCAAACAUGCACAGCGAUUUCUGGAUGCAUUGUGGGGAAUGGGGCUGCAAUCUGCCGAAGGAAAAGAUGGGAUUCUGUCCCCUAAGAAAAGUGAUUACGAGAUGCCCAGCAAAGACAAAUAUAUUUGUCCCUGUUGCUACAAUAGGAAGUUAACAAUCUGGCAAGAUAUCUGAACACAAGCAAAUGAAAACAGUUCACCUAACACCCAUUCAAAUUAUAAAUUUCCUCCCAUAUACAAAAUGAUGAGAAAUAACAGCAAAAAUGUAUAUUUUCUUAUUUUUGAACUUUGAAAGUUCUAGUUUGGUCUUUGAAUCAAAACAAAGUAAAAGAUGUUUAUAAAAGCCAUUUCCUUUUCUUUCCCCACUAUGCUCAUUUGACUUGCUCUUCCCCCUAUAGGGUACCCUGAGUCAUUCAGAGAAGGAGAAUUAAUAGCACUGAGUUGGUGAUGAAGCUCCUGUUAGGACAUAUGGCUUCACAAAAAGAAAUACUUCCAGAUAAGUCAGAGAGACAGUUGAACGUCUUGAGCAAAUCUUGAAAGAGAGGGAAGAAAGCAGAAGUUGUUGGGUGGUGCUUGUAAGAAAAAGGCUCACACGAUGAGGACCAGCUUCUUGUGGAUCUCCAGGUCUCUGACCACAGCACUGAAUUCCUCAAAGGAUAUCUUCCCAUCGCCAUCCUUGUCCAGGAUGAUGAUGGUUUUGUCGACCAGCUGCUGGAGCUGCCAGUCCGUCAGGUUGUUGCCCACCAUCAUCUUCAGCACCUGGAAGAGCUCCCCGUUGGAAAUGUAGCCAUCUUUAUCCAUGUCGUAAAUGCUGAACGCAAACCUCAACUUCUGCUCCUCGUUGCCCUUGACGCUGAACUGGGAGGUCCCCAGGAUGAAUUCCUUGAAGUCCACUUCUCCAUCACCGUCGGUGUCGAAGACGUCGAUCACUCGCCGCACCAACGGGUUGUGGCGCAGCUCCGGCAGGGACAUGAACUCCUCCACGCUCAGAGACCCUGAUUUGUCCAAGUCCAACUUCUUAAACCUCCUGCCCAGCCUUUUAAUUUCAUCAUUGUCAAAGUGGGAGCACAUCUCCGCCGGGUAACUGGCCUCGUUUCCCAUUGUGGACAUCUGGCAACGGCCACGGCUCACAGGGUCGGAGAGGGGAGCAGGGGCGGUGAGCUCGGGCGGGGCUCGUGCCCGGACGGUUGGGCCAUGGGGUGGGGGUAGAGGGCUCCCGGGGGCCCUGGUCGAGCAAAAGGGCAGGGGAGCGGAGGGAGGGGCGGCAGUAAACCCCAAAGGAGAAGGGAUCGCACCUGUGUUAUUCGCUGCAGUAUCCCAGAAGCACAGUGCUUCACAGGCAAUAUGUGCUUAAUAAAUAUACGCCGAAUGACUGAACUGCAACCAAGGACACUGUAUACUUGCUUUACAGACCUAGUGUAAGGAUGAAACAAGGUGACACAUCAAGGCAUUGAUAUACCCGAAUCCUCAGAGCCUGGAGGCAACUCCUCUCUGCACAGGGAAUAGAGGUGAGUGAGGAGUCCCAUUUCCUGUGAUCCCCCACAGACUUUAGUGCAUGGAAGUCUAAAAAAAUGGAAGGAAGACUGUCUCUCACAAUAGUCCUAAUCAGUUUGAGCACCGUUCAUACCUUUUAGUUGCAUAGUAAAUAGCAUUUCAUAAAUAUUCAUGAGUUUGCUGAAUUUAACCAGGGGAAAAGCAAGAACUCUUAACAGUAUGUGGUCUUGGGUGUAAUUUAUGCCCAAGUAUCUCUGGCAUAUAAA
RNAcentral lists this long non-coding RNA (4594 nucleotides) under Pan troglodytes (chimpanzee). RNAcentral's name for it is "long non-coding RNA NONPTRT017574". Lineage: Eukaryota; Metazoa; Chordata; Mammalia; Primates; Hominidae. The record is from RNAcentral.